CCUACGGGAGGCAGCAGUGAGGAAUAUUGGUCAAUGGACGAGAGUCUGAACCAGCCAAGUAGCGUGAAGGAUGACUGCCCUAUGGGUUGUAAACUUCUUUUAUAAAGGAAUAAAACGAGGCACGUGUGCCUUUUUGCAUGUACUUUAUGAAUAAGGAUCGGCUAACUCCGUGCCAGCAGCCGCGGUAAUACGGAGGAUCCGAGCGUUGUCCGGAUUUAUUGGGUUUAAAGGGAGCGUAGAUGGGUUGGUAAGUCAGUUGUGAAAGUUUGCGGCUCAACCGUAAAAUUGCAAUUGAUACUGGCAGUCGUGAGUACAGUUGAGGUAGGCGGAAUGCGUGGUGUAGCGGUGAAAUGCUUAGAUAUCACGAAGAACCCCGAUUGCGAAGGCAGCUUACUAACCUGUGACUGACAUUGAUGCUCGAAAGUGUGGGUAUCAAACAGGAUUAGAUACCCCAGUAGUC
Molecule: ribosomal RNA, 460 nt
Filed under: uncultured bacterium
Lineage: Bacteria
Description: partial 16S ribosomal RNA
Rfam family: Bacterial small subunit ribosomal RNA
Source: RNAcentral